This 106-nucleotide small nuclear RNA is filed under the name Rhodnius prolixus. The record is from RNAcentral. Lineage: Eukaryota; Metazoa; Arthropoda; Insecta; Hemiptera; Reduviidae.
ACUCGCUUCGGCGAGUAUAUAUACUAAAAUUGGAACGAUACAGAGAAGAUUUGCAUGGCCACUGCGCAAGGAUGACACGCAAAAUCGUGAAGCGUUCCACAUUUUU